AGCGGAGGAAAAGAAACUAACUAGGAUGCCCUUAGUAACGGCGAGCGAACCGGGCAAAGCCCAACUUGAAAAUCUCCAGCCUCCGGCUGGCGAAUUGUAGUCUAUAGAAGUGCUCUCUGUCGCAGUCUGGUCCCAAGUCCCCUGGAAAGGGGCGUCAAAGAGGGUGAGAACCCCGUUGGGACCGGGUCCUGUGGCUCCACGAGACGCUUUCGAAGAGUCGGGUUGUUUGGGAAUGCAGCCCAAAGCAGGUGGUAAAUCCCAUCUAAGGCUAAAUACAGACGGGAGACCGAUAGCGAACAAGUACCGCGAGGGAAAGAUGAAAAGAACUUUGAAAAGAGAGUUAAAAAGUACUUGAAAUUGUUGAGAGGGAAGUGAUUGGAUCCUACGGGUGCUCCUAGGCACACGCCUGCCUAACGGUUGGCUGAAUGCGCUAGGAGCUGGUCAGCAUGGGUUGAUCGGGCGGGAUAAACCCGGGGGUUGUUACCCCGGCUAUGUCGCCUGGUCGACCGAGGAAUGAAGGGCGCCCCAGUCCUCCGGGAACUGCGUCCUCAAGAUGCUGGCGGAAAGGUUCCAAUCAGCCCGUCUUGAAACACGGACCAAGGAGUCUAACAUGCAUGCGAGCUGGUGGGUGACAAACCCAUGAAGCGUAAGUAACCUGACUGGUGGGAUGGCCUGUGCCUGCACCAUCGACCCCGCUUGAGGUUUUCCGAAGGCUGGGAGUACGAGCAUGCCUGUUGGGACCCGAAAGAUGGUGAACUAUGCCUGAGCAGGGCGAAGCCAGAGGAAACUCUGGUGGAGGCUCGUAGAUGUGCUGACGUGCAAAUCGCUUUUCGGACUUGGGUAUAGGGGCGAAAGACUAAUCGAACCUUCUAGUA
RNAcentral lists this ribosomal RNA (875 nucleotides) under Chlorella variabilis. RNAcentral's name for it is "eukaryotic LSU rRNA". It matches the Rfam family "Eukaryotic large subunit ribosomal RNA", at positions 49 to 949 of the family's 3401-position model. The record is from RNAcentral. Lineage: Eukaryota; Viridiplantae; Chlorophyta; Trebouxiophyceae; Chlorellales; Chlorellaceae.